This is a long non-coding RNA of Monodelphis domestica (gray short-tailed opossum), 1837 nucleotides long. The record is from Ensembl. Lineage: Eukaryota; Metazoa; Chordata; Mammalia; Didelphimorphia; Didelphidae.
AUGGAUGCUUCAUCCUCCAACCCCCAAAGUAAUAAUGCCUUCAAGGCUCUCCCAAGUCCUCCUUGGGAUGGUCAGGAAUGCUCCCCCUUUCCCAGAGCAGCCAUUCACCAGAAGUUUGGGAUCUCUCCCACCAGACCUGGGAACAGUGAACUGGGAGAGGGACCAUCGUCCCCAAAGUUCCUGAACCUCCCUGGCCCAGGAUCGGCCUCAAGAGACACUGGCUCCCCCGUCAUCACGGAGAGUGACAUGGACCUCACAGCCGAUUUGUUGCCCUCUGGGAGGAUGCACUCCCAUCCACUCACUCUUCGGACCCCAGUGACUGAGAGCAUCCUUGGCCCUCCUUUGCCUGCUCCCUCACGGCCUGGGAGUCCCACCUCACAGGACCAGGAGAAGGAAGGGGUCGGUUCUGGCACCUUUGGCUCGAAAGCCCUGAGCCUCACAUCCACUUUGCCCUUCAGUCUGGGUACCAGUGGGGCCAUCUUCUUGGAAACACGGAAGCCACUGAAGGGGGACCCUGCACCUGAGAAGCCCUGGGGUCAAGCACAUUCCUGGGCAGGAGCCCCCUGGAGUCUGAGCUCAGACUCCAGACUGGGUCCUGUUCCUACUACUCUGCCCUGGGCUCUGGAUAAACCUUGGACCUUGCCUACUGACUCCUCUGCGUUACACAGGGAGGCACCGGAGCCUCCAUGGGCCUGUCCCUGGCCUGUGGACGUGAUGAUCAGGAAGGACCCAACAGGAGUGAUCCCUGGGGGGCAGGGAGAGCCCUUGGAUCCUGGGGCGGGACCUCAGGGGGAGGGGGCUCCUUGCUCCCCUCUAACCUCCUCACACAAGUGCUAGGGGAAGGCAGGGCACCAGAGCUUUCCUGAAGAGAAGGGAAUGGCUCUGGGGGCCACCUCGGUGCUGUUUUUAUUUGGAAGACGCUGCCCCUCUCCUUCUCAGGCCUGGAUUUAUCCAAGAGCAGAAAUAUUGGCCAUCCCUCCCGCCCCUGGCCCAGGCGAGUAUCGGACAGGAAAGUGGGGUCUGUGUGGGCAUGGCUGGAAGGGCAAAGACACCCGUGAUCCAGGGUCAGGUGGCUUGGGGGGGGGAGGCACCCUUUUCCCAUCCCCUGACUUGGCUGGGGAGCAGGGAAGGGUGGUUGCAUCUCAGGCAAAGGCCAGCAGAGGGAACCCGAGGACCGAAGAAGACACUGGCUUGUGCCUCUGAGCUGGGGUGGCCAGUUACUGCCGGGGGUGGGGUUGACUUUCUCCCUCCUGGCACGAGAAGUGUGCUGGCCCCCCCUCCCCCCUCAGAUUUGCAGUGAGGCCCCCCUCUCCUUCCUGACCCCAAGGAAGAGGCUCAGAUGGAGGAGGAGCUUCUUUCCCAGCCCUGCUUUCCUCCCCCAGGGUGAGGACAGUAAAGAAAGAGGGGAGCUAGAGAUUAUGAAGAGCCACCCAGGCUCUCAGCCUCAGUUUCCCCUUUUGUGUCCCCAUUUCCCGAUGCUCAGGGAUCAAGGUGAGCUUGACCACUGGAACCAGGCCCUUCCCCUUUCUGCCUCUUCCUCUCCUUCAGACAAAACACGUUAACGAUGGGGCACCGGACCUAGGCUAGCUUCAGAAGGUCUAUGAGGAUAAAGAGGGACCAGGAGGGAGAGGGAAGAAAGGGAGAUAGAGGAAAAAGCAACAGAGAUGGGGGUGGGGGAGAGCUGCUUUGGGCUCCUGUCGGGGGUCCCAGCUCCUGCUCUGCCGAUGAGGGCCCCCUGCCCCCUCUCUUCCAGCCAAGGCCAGUGGUCCUGGCCAAUAUCCCUGAAGCUCUCCCGUGCCUGUCACCUUCCCUCUCAGCCCCCCACCCCACCGCAGGU